UUAUCACACUCUAGUGAUCAAAAAGCUCAAGCCAUGUUGAAUUGUCCUUAAAAGAAAAAAUACAAUAGUUAUUGACAAAGAAAGGUCAAGCCAUGUUGAAUUGUCCUUAAAAGAAAAAAUACAAUAGUUAUUGACAAAGAAAGGUCAAGCCAAAAAAUUUAGAACUGAGUAACUUAGAAAAUUGAUGCUCUUAAAGUUAGCAACUAAUCAAACCUUUACUGCUAACAAGUAGUAACCUAAUAAAAUCCCAAAUUUAAACACCACAUGUGUCAACAGAUCGACCAAAACAAAACCUCAC
This 298-nucleotide long non-coding RNA is filed under the name Arabidopsis lyrata. RNAcentral describes it as "long non-coding RNA (ALYR_LNC001124)". The record is from RNAcentral. Lineage: Eukaryota; Viridiplantae; Streptophyta; Magnoliopsida; Brassicales; Brassicaceae.